UACCAGACUCCUACGGGAGGCAGCAGUGGGGAAUAUUGCACAAUGGGGGGAACCCUGAUGCAGCGACGCCGCGUGGGUGAAGGAGCACCUCGGUGCGUAAAGCCCUAUCGGCAGGGAAGAAGGAGGACGGUACCUGACUAAGAAGCCCCGGCUAACUACGUGCCAGCAGCCGCGGUAAUACGUAGGGGGCAAGCGUUAUCCGGAUUUACUGGGUGUAAAGGGGGCGCAGACGGCAGCGCAAGCCAGGAGUGAAAGCCCGGGGCCCAACCCCGGGACUGCUCUGGAAACUGCGUCGCUGGAGUACGGGAGGGGCAGGCGGAAUUCCUGGUGUAGCGGUGAAAUGCGUAGAUAUCAGGAGGAACACCGGCGGCGAAGGCGGCCUGCUGGACCGCGACUGACGUUGAGGCUCGAAAGCGUGGGGAGCGAACAGGAUUAGAUACCCGGGUAAC
This 449-nucleotide ribosomal RNA is filed under the name uncultured bacterium. Its description in RNAcentral is "bacterial SSU rRNA". It matches the Rfam family "Bacterial small subunit ribosomal RNA", at positions 329 to 794 of the family's 1533-position model. The record is from RNAcentral.